This is a long non-coding RNA of Lycium barbarum (goji berry), 713 nucleotides long. RefSeq lists it as uncharacterized. The transcript has 2 exons. The record is from RefSeq and is a predicted model, not a curated record. Lineage: Eukaryota; Viridiplantae; Streptophyta; Magnoliopsida; Solanales; Solanaceae.
UUCUAGGAAACAUGUCCCUUAACAUUAAUUAUGGUAUUAGUAUUGGGUGGAAAUGCAUUUAAUUAGUAAUUUAUUUUCCACUUCUGUUGGUGGUUAGCCGUAUAAUACUAGGAUACAAAGUUAGUGGUUCAAUCAAUUUAAGGAAUUAAGUGGAAGGUUGAUGUUGCCAGGAAUGAGUGAAAGACAAAUAGUUAGUGGAAGUUUUUUUUUUUUUGGUUUACACGGAAAGAAGGCAAAAGAUAGAAAAGAGAAGGAUAUAGGCGAGAGGAAUUGUGAGAUUUCUAUUCCAAAUUAGGAUGUGUUCUUGCAGUAUACAUUUGUUUCAAUGCUUUCCUAUUGUCCCAUUCCCAUAUAUAUAAGUAGGGUUUGACAUGCCAAAAUAUAACAUUAAAAACAAAUUAGAGCAAAAGUGACUGGACGGCGUCAACAACAAACAAUUGAAGGCUUCAGAGUACGAUCCAGGCUCCAGUUCUACACCCCGUGGAUGAUACGCGAGGGUGACAUCUUUCAGUCAUUCAGGGUGAGCUACUUGUCAUCCGUGGCCCCUGAAGGACCUCCUCUAUUUCUUUCUGUUUUUGUGUUCGACAGACAAUAUGUAGCCUUCGGGUAUUUUUCAGACUUCUAUUCCGUACUAUGUUAGUGCUCUUGUACCCUUGAUCAGAUUUUUGGGGUUGUUGUGAAAUUUCUAGUUAUGAUAAGUAUUUAAGACUUGA